This 88-nucleotide ribosomal RNA is filed under the name Enterococcus faecium. The record is from RNAcentral. Lineage: Bacteria; Bacillati; Bacillota; Bacilli; Lactobacillales; Enterococcaceae.
UGUAACCAUGCCGAACACAGAAGUUAAGCUUCUUAGCGCCGAUUGUAGUGAGGGGUUGCCCCUUGUGAGAGUAGGACGUCGCCACGCA